This 253-nucleotide ribosomal RNA is filed under the name uncultured bacterium. Its description in RNAcentral is "partial 16S ribosomal RNA". It matches the Rfam family "Bacterial small subunit ribosomal RNA", at positions 524 to 776 of the family's 1533-position model. The record is from RNAcentral.
UACGUAGGGUGCGAGCGUUGUCCGGAAUUAUUGGGCGUAAAGAGCUUGUAGGUGGCUCGUUGCGUCGGGAGUGAAAACCUGCGGCUUAACCGCAGGCCUGCUUCCGAUACGGGCGAGCUAGAGUUCGGCAGGGGAGACUGGAAUUCCUGGUGUAGCGGUGGAAUGCGCAGAUAUCAGGAGGAACACCGGUGGCGAAGGCGGGUCUCUGGGCCGAUACUGACACUGAGAGACGAAAGCUAGGGGAGCGAAUGGG